GGAGGGAUGGCAGAGCGGUUGAAUGCACCGGUCUUGAAAACCGGCGAAGGUGCGAGCCUUCCCAGGGUUCGAAUCCCUGUCCCUCCGCCA
RNAcentral lists this transfer RNA (90 nucleotides) under Halomonas elongata. RNAcentral's name for it is "tRNA-Ser". It matches the Rfam family "tRNA". From Rfam's summary of the family: Transfer RNA (tRNA) molecules are approximately 80 nucleotides in length. RNAcentral also lists the same sequence under 1 other name. The record is from RNAcentral. Lineage: Bacteria; Pseudomonadati; Pseudomonadota; Gammaproteobacteria; Oceanospirillales; Halomonadaceae.